This 86-nucleotide transfer RNA is filed under the name Aspergillus terreus NIH2624. RNAcentral's name for it is "tRNA ATEG_10415". It matches the Rfam family "tRNA". Rfam says of the family: Transfer RNA (tRNA) molecules are approximately 80 nucleotides in length. Their secondary structure includes four short double-helical elements and three loops (D, anti-codon, and T loops). RNAcentral also lists the same sequence under 1 other name. The record is from RNAcentral. Lineage: Eukaryota; Fungi; Ascomycota; Eurotiomycetes; Eurotiales; Aspergillaceae.
GCAUUGAUGGUCUAGUGGUUAUGAUUGCCGCCUUCCAUUUCCGGAAGGUUCAGCGGCAGAGCGGGGUUCGAUUCCCCGUCAAUGCA